UACGAAGGGGGCUAGCGUUGUUCGGAAUCACUGGGCGUAAAGAGCGCGUAGGCGGAUAUGCAAGUCAGGGGUGAAAUCCCGGGGCCUAACCUCGGAACUGCCUUUGAAACUGCAUAUCUGGAGACUCGGAGGGGAUAGCGGAAUUCCAAAUGUAGGGGUGAAAUCCGUAGAUAUUUGGAGGAACACCGGUGGCGAAGGCGGCUAUCUGGACGAGUACUGACGCUGAGGCGCGAAAGCGUGGGUAGCAAACAGG
RNAcentral lists this ribosomal RNA (253 nucleotides) under uncultured bacterium. RNAcentral's name for it is "partial 16S ribosomal RNA". It matches the Rfam family "Bacterial small subunit ribosomal RNA", at positions 524 to 776 of the family's 1533-position model. The record is from RNAcentral.